UACGUAGAUGGCAAGCGUUGUUCGGAAUUAUUGGGCGUAAAGGGCUCGUAGGCGGUUUGUCGCGUCGGGAGUGAAAACGCCGUGCUUAACACGGCGCUUGCUUUCGAUACGGGCAGACUAGAGGUAUGCAGGGGAGAACGGAAUUCCUGGUGUAGCGGUGAAAUGCGCAGAUAUCAGGAGGAACACCGGUGGCGAAGGCGGUUCUCUGGGCAUUACCUGACGCUGAGGAGCGAAAGUGUGGGGAGCGAACAGG
This 253-nucleotide ribosomal RNA is filed under the name uncultured bacterium. Its description in RNAcentral is "partial 16S ribosomal RNA". It matches the Rfam family "Bacterial small subunit ribosomal RNA", at positions 524 to 776 of the family's 1533-position model. The record is from RNAcentral.